Molecule: small nuclear RNA, 164 nt
Filed under: Pogona vitticeps (central bearded dragon)
Lineage: Eukaryota; Metazoa; Chordata; Lepidosauria; Squamata; Agamidae
Description: U1 spliceosomal RNA (ENSPVIG00000022848.1)
Rfam family: U1 spliceosomal RNA
About the family: U1 is a small nuclear RNA (snRNA) component of the spliceosome (involved in pre-mRNA splicing). Its 5' end forms complementary base pairs with the 5' splice junction, thus defining the 5' donor site of an intron. There are significant differences in sequence and secondary structure between metazoan and yeast U1 snRNAs, the latter being much longer (568 nucleotides as compared to 164 nucleotides in human).
Source: RNAcentral
GCCCUUGCACCUCAUGGGAAAUACCAUGUCAAAAAGUGGUUUUCCCAGGGGAGGCUCAUCCAUUGCAUUUUGGGUGUGCUGUUGAUUCCUGUGAUUUUCCCAAAUGUGGAGAACUCAACUGCAUGAUUUGUGCUAAUGUAGUAGAUUACAUUUGUAAUUUCCCU